This 387-nucleotide ribosomal RNA is filed under the name uncultured bacterium. RNAcentral's name for it is "bacterial SSU rRNA". It matches the Rfam family "Bacterial small subunit ribosomal RNA", at positions 30 to 417 of the family's 1533-position model. The record is from RNAcentral.
AUUGAACGCUGGCGGCAUGCCUUACACAUGCAAGUCGAACGGUAACAGGGAGCUUGCUCCGCUGACGAGUGGCGAACGGGUGAGUAAUGUAUCGGAACGUACCAUUCAGUGGGGGAUAACGUAGCGAAAGUUACGCUAAUACCGCAUAUUCUGUGAGCAGGAAAGCAGGGGAUCGCAAGACCUUGCGCUGAUUGAGCGGCCGAUAUCAGAUUAGCUAGUUGGUGAGGUAAAGGCUCACCAAGGCGACGAUCUGUAGCGGGUCUGAGAGGAUGAUCCGCCACACUGGAACUGAGACACGGUCCAGACUCCUACGGGAGGCAGCAGUGGGGAAUUUUGGACAAUGGGGGCAACCCUGAUCCAGCCAUGCCGCGUGAGUGAAGAAGGCCU